GGGGUGGUGGCGCAGUUGGCUAGCGCGUAGGUCUCAUAGCUAUCUGAGUAAUUCUGAGGUCGAGAGGUCGAGAGUUCGAGCCUCUCUCACCCCA
Transfer RNA from Gossypium raimondii (Peruvian cotton), 94 nucleotides. It matches the Rfam family "tRNA". Rfam says of the family: Transfer RNA (tRNA) molecules are approximately 80 nucleotides in length. NCBI's taxonomy places the organism in Eukaryota, Viridiplantae, Streptophyta, Magnoliopsida, Malvales, Malvaceae. The record is from Rfam.